RNAcentral lists this ribosomal RNA (461 nucleotides) under Streptococcus constellatus. Its description in RNAcentral is "bacterial SSU rRNA". It matches the Rfam family "Bacterial small subunit ribosomal RNA", at positions 28 to 465 of the family's 1533-position model. The record is from RNAcentral. Lineage: Bacteria; Bacillati; Bacillota; Bacilli; Lactobacillales; Streptococcaceae.
GACGAACGCUGGCGGCGUGCCUAAUACAUGCAAGUAGAACGCACAGGAUGCACCGUAGUUUACUACACCGUAUUCUGUGAGUUGCGAACGGGUGAGUAACGCGUAGGUAACCUGCCUGGUAGCGGGGGAUAACUAUUGGAAACGAUAGCUAAUACCGCAUAAGAACAUUUACUGCAUGGUAGAUGUUUAAAAGGUGCAAGAGCAUCACUACCAGAUGGACCUGCGUUGUAUUAGCUAGUUGGUGGGGUAACGGCUCACCAAGGCGACGAUACAUAGCCGACCUGAGAGGGUGAUCGGCCACACUGGGACUGAGACACGGCCCAGACUCCUACGGGAGGCAGCAGUAGGGAAUCUUCGGCAAUGGACGGAAGUCUGACCGAGCAACGCCGCGUGAGUGAAGAAGGUUUUCGGAUCGUAAAGCUCUGUUGUAAGAGAAGAACGAGUGUGAGAGUGGAAAGUUC